CGAGGAUCAAACUCAUCUUCCAACCCUUCGCUCUCCAGCCAAAUCUCCGUUUCAAUCCACAUCGGUGGCUCCCUCCAGAUCUGACUCUUCAACUACAGAUUUGUAUGUUGGGACAAAGACAAAGUCUAACGAAGGUGGCUCCAAUUCUCCAGCCAAAUAACUGAGAUGGCUUGCUUCUCACUCAAGCUAACAUCUCGCUUGAGCAUGCGUCAUCAGAAUGUUUUGAAGCUGCUUCUGGAGCUGUGCUUUAAUUUGGUAAUUCGAAGUCAGCCUUCUAUCCAAAUUUUCCUUUGCAG
Prosopis cineraria is the source of this 296-nucleotide long non-coding RNA. RefSeq lists it as uncharacterized. NCBI's taxonomy places the organism in Eukaryota, Viridiplantae, Streptophyta, Magnoliopsida, Fabales, Fabaceae. The record is from RefSeq and is a predicted model, not a curated record. The transcript has 3 exons.